This 291-nucleotide ribosomal RNA is filed under the name uncultured fungus. RNAcentral describes it as "partial small subunit ribosomal RNA". It matches the Rfam family "Eukaryotic small subunit ribosomal RNA", at positions 30 to 321 of the family's 1831-position model. The record is from RNAcentral. Lineage: Eukaryota; Fungi.
GCUUGUCUCAAAGAUUAAGCCAUGCAUGUUCAAGUAUAGCAAGUGUACAGUGAAACUGCGAAUGGCUCAUUAAAACAGUUACAGUUUAUUUGAUGGUCGUUCCUUACAUGGAUAACUGUGGUAAUUCUAGAGCUAAUACAUGCACCCGUGCCCGACUUUGUGGAAGGGUUGUGUUUAUUAGUUACAGAACCAGCCCAGGCUCUGCCUGGUCUUGUGGUGAUUCAUAAUAACCGAACGAAUCGUAUGGCAUCAGCUGGCGAUGAAUCAUUCAAGUUUCUGACCUAUCAGCUU